RNAcentral lists this transfer RNA (86 nucleotides) under Chloroflexota bacterium. RNAcentral's name for it is "Chloroflexi bacterium (mine drainage metagenome) tRNA-Ser". It matches the Rfam family "tRNA". Rfam says of the family: Transfer RNA (tRNA) molecules are approximately 80 nucleotides in length. The record is from RNAcentral. RNAcentral also lists the same sequence under 1 other name. Lineage: Bacteria; Bacillati; Chloroflexota.
GGAGAGGUAGCAUAGUCUGGUCUAAUGCGCGCGCCUGGAAAGCGCGUAUGGAAACCCCAUCGCAGGUUCAAAUCCUGUCCUCUCCG